This is an RNA transcript of Symphalangus syndactylus (siamang), 3981 nucleotides long. It is a transcript of the gene named leucine twenty homeobox, with no coding region annotated. The record is from RefSeq and is a predicted model, not a curated record. Lineage: Eukaryota; Metazoa; Chordata; Mammalia; Primates; Hylobatidae.
GUGUCCCAGGGCCAAACCCCCAGGAGUCCUGUCUUCAGGACCUUUUUGAGUAGUCUUCCACGGUUGAAGGGGGAGCUUCAGGGAGAGUCCGAUGUGGAGCCAAUGCGACCACACGUGGCACUGGCGUCUCUCAGAGCAGAUGGGGUAAGUGUGUGUCACUGAAGCCAUAUGGGGCGAUGGCGAGAAAGACAAUGGUGUCCAGGCGUGUGCGCGGUGGAAGAAAGGCCCAGGUGACCUCCCCGUUAACACCAAGGAAAAGCAAAGCACAGCUGGGAACCAGGAGAGAGCGUGUGAAUGAGACCAAGCCACAUUUUGGGAUGCCUGCACCGGAGCGGAGAGGUUUCUGCAAAGUUCACCCCACCCCCACCCCUCCACCGCCUAGGUCGCCCUGACGCAACCUCACCUGCACCCAGCCCCAGCCCUGUCCUUUUGGUUCCCUGACAUUCGUGAUAGCCAAAAUAUUCGGCUGUGGGACGCAGUCCACCCAGGAGCAGAGGAGAGGAUGUUCCCUCAGAAUGAGACAGGAAGAAGUGCAGUGGAAUGCGACACCACCUUUCCUAGAAGCCAAGGCCAGUCACUAUCACCUACCGCUCAUUCUAGGCAAACUACCCAGCCAUCAGGUGAAACAUGGAGACCAAGGGAGAUUCUCUGUCUGAGACAGGUAUGGAAGUUCAGAGCUCCAGGAUCGUCAAAACUGCCUAAUCAACCAGAAACUGGUUUGGAGAGAGAAACAUUGAUGACGCGGAUCUCCAUGAAGUUUCUCCCUGAUGGACUGGGAAGUGUUCUUUGUUGUAGGCAUUGAUCCAGACCAAGAAGCACCUAGACCCCUCAAAACAGGGCAGGCAGAGCAAGAGGGACGACAGAGCAGAGGCCAGAGCCCAGGCACAAUACAGCACAGUGCCACCGCCAGGCAGGAUACAGGCACAGUUUCACCGCCACCGGCAUAAGGAAAGGAGUGCCAAACUGGACAAUGAACUCCUGUGAGGCUUUUGUCCUUGGCUGGAGUGUGGUCAUCUUGAUCCUACAAAAGACGCUGCUCAGGAUAGGAAUGAGAUUUCAAUUUCUCCGGGACCGAUGCAUCUCCACAAGUCGUCGAAGCCUUCACAAACCCAAAGUGGAACCGCCGCGAAAAAGAUUGACAACCGGCCACAUGACCCAGCCAGAGACGCAGAAAGAGGCUCACUAAAGACAGGCCGACAUGCCAGAAAUUGCUUUGUGGCGCAUAGGGCACAUUCGCCCCAACACUCACACGCACACAGGCGCACAGACAGAGAGACAGAGAAAGCGAGAGAGACAGACAGAGAUUGGGAGACAGAGAGAGAAGAAAGAAUGUGAUACACACGCACACAAACAUACAGCAGUGGCACAGAAAUACACACCUCCAGGCAAUCCCUGAGGCUGUGGGGUUCUGCUCUUCGGGACAACGACUCUUGGGUGAGAGAGCAGCCCACGGGCACACAGGCAGACCUGUCCUCGAGAUCACGGGGGGCAGCACGACUUUUGGGGGGACUCACCCGAACACCUUCCGGGCAGGCCUGAGGCUGGGAUGCCGCGCUGCUGUCCUUGGACUCCGUCUGCUGUUUCUGCAUCCUGGUCGGCCCUCCGUUUAUUGUGGUGUCCCGAAACAGUUUUGUCGACCCCCUGGAUUGGUCAGGCUGGAGCCUCGGCACCGACGCCCUGCCACGGAGGGCUCCUGCUUUGUCAAGGCUCAAGGAGUGGUCUUCAGCCAACCGUUGGAGUCACUGUGACAGGAGAAUGGGCUCGCGCCUUGCGCAUGCGCAUUGCCCAGGCGGACUCCGGCUUUGCUCUUGGAAGUCCGGCUGCGGCCCCUUUAAACAGAUGACAGUUACAAUUGGAAAGGAAAUACCUAGUUUACAGGAGGCAUUAAUACUUAUGUUGCUGCAGAAACUGAACCCUUACAAGAAUGUAUUCUUGACUUUCUGACCUGGACACUAACAAAUAGUGAAAAAUAUGUAUCUAAGAAUACUCUUGGAACAGAAAUGUGAAACACCAAAAGUAAGAGAUAUUAUGAAGGAUCAAAUAUAAAAUGACCCACUGCUAAAGAGGCAACAAAGAAAACUGUAGAAGAAAAUGACAAGAGGCACUAUGCGUUAGUGGGUUUGUGCUACUAUGUAACAAAAUACACUAGACUGGGUAAUUUCUGAAGAAGAGAAAUGUAUUUCUCACAGUUCCGUAGGCUGGAAGUCCAAGAUCAAGGUGCCAGCAGGAUUGGUGUCUGGUGAGGGCCUGGUAUCCACAUCCAAGAUGGCGCCUUGUGCACUGUGUCUUCAGGAGAGGAUGCGCUGUGUUCUCACAUGGCAGAAGGCGCAAGGGCAAAACAGGGGAAGCCUACUCCCUCCAGUCUUUGUGUAAGAACCCUAAACCCAUUCGUGAAGACUCUCCCUUCAUGACUGAAUCACUUCCUAAAGGCCCUACUUCCUAAUCCUGUGACAUUGCGAGGUUCUAACACUCUAUACAGCAAGGUGGGUUUGCUCAGUCUCCUCUCUAUCCUGGAACAUCCCUGCACCUCAUAAAUUGCCUGUCACAAGAAAGAAUCCAGAAUUCCAGGUGGAUUUCUAUGAAUAUCCCAAGGAAGACGCCAUCAUCACAUUCCACUUCCCAGUGUACACGAACAAUGUCGUAGUGAUGAACAGCAUCCAGAAAGGGUCAUGGAAUGAGAAAAACAUUGCUUUCUCUGGCUCCAUUGUGACAGGGAAGUCAUUUGAGCUGUGAGUUUUGGUGCUGGACGAUCAGUACCAGAGACAGAGUCUUGCUGUGUUGCCCAGGCUGGAAUGCGCUGGCAGGAUCAUACCUCACUGCAGACUCAACCUUCUGGACUCAAGCAAUCCUCCUACCUCAGCCCUUGAAAGUGCUGGUAUUACAGGAGUGAGCCGCUAUGUCUGGCUCCCCAAGAAGUUUUGACAUUGCUUAUGUGUCUAUCUAUUACCACAAUAAUAACCAGGAAAAGAUGCUGAAUCAAAACAAACAAAAAUAGUUCAGGUUCUGGAGCGAGCCUGGUUCAAACCUCUGCUCUCUUAAUUCUUAGCUCUGUGACCUUGUGCAAGUUUCUUAAACUCUCUAUACCUCAGUUUCCUUUUUUGAAAAAUGAGGACAGUUUUAUCUACCUCAUAAAGUUGUUGUGAGCAUCAAGUGAAUCAAUACAUUUUUUUAAAAGAUGCUGAAUCACCAAGGAAAUGUAAAUCAAAACCACAGUGGGAUAUUACCUCACAUCUGUUAGCAUGGCUAUUUUCAAAAGAACAAAGGAUAACAAGUGUGGGCAAUGAGGUGAAGAAAUUGGAGGCCUUGUGCACUGUGGGUAGGAAUGCGAAAUGGUGCAGCCACUGUAGAAAACAGUAUGGAACUUCUGCAAAGAAUUACAAAUAUAACUACCAUAUGACCCAGGAAUCCCACUCCAGGGUAUAAGGCAAAGAAGUUGAAAUCGGGAUUUUAAAAAGAUAUUAGCAUCCCAUUGUUCAUUGCAGCACUAUUCACAACAGCCAAGAUAUGGAAACAACCUAAAUGACUAUAAACAGAUGAUUCAAUAAAGAAAAUGUGGCGUAUACACACAAUGGAAAAUUAUUCAGCCUUUAGAAAGAAGGGUAUCCUGCAAUAUGCAACCACAUGGCUGAACCUUAAAGACUAAUGUUUGCUAAGCAAAUAAGCCAGUCACAGGACAAAUACUACAGGAUUCCAUUUACAUGAGGUGAUUGAAAUAGUCAAAAUUAGAGAAGCAGAGAGUAAAAUGGUGGUUACCGGGGGUGGGGAGGAGGGGUAAAUGGGAUAUUGCUAACCAGCGGACAUAAAGUUUCACUUACACAAGAUGACUAAGUUCUAGAAAUUGUCUGUACAACACUGUGCCAAUAGUUAACAACACUGUACUGCAAACAUAAAAAUGUGUUAAGAGGGUAGAUGUCAUGUAAAGCAUUUUUACCACAGUAAAGUAAAAUUUUAUUAAAGAAUACAUGCAAAUUAGUACAAACA